Molecule: ribosomal RNA, 483 nt
Filed under: uncultured bacterium
Lineage: Bacteria
Description: partial 16S ribosomal RNA
Rfam family: Bacterial small subunit ribosomal RNA
Source: RNAcentral
GACGAACGCUGGCGGCGUGCCUAACACAUGCAAGUCGAACGAUGAUGCCCAGCUUGCUGGGUGGAUUAGUGGCGAACGGGUGAGUAACACGUGAGUAACCUGCCCCUGACUCUGGGAUAAGCGUUGGAAACGACGUCUAAUACUGGAUAUGACUGCCGGCCGCAUGGUCUGGUGGUGGAAGGAUUUUUUGGUUGGGGAUGGACUCGCGGCCUAUCAGCUUGUUGGUGAGGUAAUGGCUCACCAAGGCGACGACGGGUAGCCGGCCUGAGAGGGUGACCGGCCACACUGGGACUGAGACACGGCCCAGACUCCUACGGGAGGCAGCAGUGGGGAAUAUUGCACAAUGGGCGAAAGCCUGAUGCAGCAGCGCCGCGUGAGGGAUGACGGCCUUCGGGUUGUAAACCUCUUUUAGUAGGGAAGAAGCGAAAGUGACGGUACCUGCAGAAAAAGCACCGGCUAACUACGUGCCAGCCGCCGCCGUAA